Salvelinus namaycush (lake trout) is the source of this 618-nucleotide long non-coding RNA. RefSeq lists it as uncharacterized. The transcript has 3 exons. Lineage: Eukaryota; Metazoa; Chordata; Actinopteri; Salmoniformes; Salmonidae. The record is from RefSeq and is a predicted model, not a curated record.
UAGCUGAUCAAGUUACACUGGAAAUGCACUACUAUGGAGGAAAACCGGGUUGUGUCAUCAAUGACUUGAGGCCUAUUGGUUAGCUUAGCAACGACCACAAAGGAAAGCAGCUGACAGACCAGGGCCCAUAGCAGUGCUGAUUUAGGAUCAGUUUAGCCUUAUAGAUCACAAUGAAUAUGAUUACAAUGACAAGGGGGAGCUGGUCCUAGAUCGCUAUUCCUACUCUGAAGCCGCUUUGUGAAUACGGGCCCUGGAAGAAAGCUGUUGCCCAAUUCCUUGCACAGCAGUCGUUUCACCACAGGACCCUAGAGGCCACUGCGUGCUGUGACAUGGGCCUGGAUGAUGACAAAUGUUCUUCAAGCUGCCUGAUUGAAUACUGGGGCGUUCAGUGCUACUGGAAACAAGUUCCUUACCAGGAAGCACAGCAACAGUCUCUCUCACAGCCAUUCUGUCAACAUGUAUUGAAUGUAACCACUCAAAUUUAUAUGAAUGACUACUGGCGAAAGCACUGACUUAUAUUUACUUUGUCUAUUUGAACCAUUCUUCAAUCUUGACUGAGAUACAUAUUUUAGUUCACACGCCUUUGUGACGUGUCUGAUAAACAUGAAUAAAAAUCUA